Physella acuta is the source of this 91-nucleotide small nucleolar RNA. RefSeq annotates it as small nucleolar SNORD12/SNORD106. Lineage: Eukaryota; Metazoa; Mollusca; Gastropoda; Physidae. The record is from RefSeq and is a predicted model, not a curated record.
GUCUUUGAUGGUGAUGACAAAUUUUUUUUCCCCGGCAUAACGAUAUUUGCUGAAUGACUUCAGAAAAGCCAAUUUUGGCUGAAUCAAAGAC